GAUGAAGAACGCAGCGAAAUGCGAUACGUAAUGUGAAUUGCAGAAUUCAGUGAAUCAUCGAAUCUUUGAACGCAUAUUGCGCUCUCUGGUAUUCCGGAGAGCAUGCUUGUUUGAGUAUCAGUAAACACCUCAACUCCCUUUUCUUUUUUGAAAUUGGAGCUGGACUUGAGUGAUCCCAACGCUUUCUUCCAAGAAAGUGGCGGGUUGCUUGAAAUGCAGGUGCAGCUGAACUUUUCUCUGAGCUAUAAGCAUAUCUAUUUAGUCUGCCUAAAAAACAGAUUAUUACCUUUGCUGCAGCUAACAUAAAGGAGACUAGUUCUUGUGCUGACUGAUGCAGGAUUCACAAAGACAGCUUCGGCCGACUUUGUAAACUCGAUCUCAAAUCAAGUAAGACUACCCGCUGAACUUAAGCAUAUCAAUAAGCGGAGGA
Molecule: unclassified non-coding RNA, 430 nt
Filed under: soil metagenome
Description: partial contains 5.8S ribosomal RNA, internal transcribed spacer 2, and large subunit ribosomal RNA
Rfam family: 5.8S ribosomal RNA (bases 1-120)
Source: RNAcentral